This 1015-nucleotide ribosomal RNA is filed under the name Escherichia coli. RNAcentral's name for it is "partial 23S ribosomal RNA". It matches the Rfam family "Bacterial large subunit ribosomal RNA", at positions 235 to 1289 of the family's 2925-position model. The record is from RNAcentral. Lineage: Bacteria; Pseudomonadati; Pseudomonadota; Gammaproteobacteria; Enterobacterales; Enterobacteriaceae.
UUCCCCCAGUAGCGGCGAGCGAACGGGGAGCAGCCCAGAGCCUGAAUCAGUGUGUGUGUUAGUGGAAGCGUCUGGAAAGGCGCGCGAUACAGGGUGACAGCCCCGUACACAAAAAUGCACAUGCUGUGAGCUCGAUGAGUAGGGCGGGACACGUGGUAUCCUGUCUGAAUAUGGGGGGACCAUCCUCCAAGGCUAAAUACUCCUGACUGACCGAUAGUGAACCAGUACCGUGAGGGAAAGGCGAAAAGAACCCCGGCGAGGGGAGUGAAAAAGAACCUGAAACCGUGUACGUACAAGCAGUGGGAGCACGCUUAGGCGUGUGACUGCGUACCUUUUGUAUAAUGGGUCAGCGACUUAUAUUCUGUAGCAAGGUUAACCGAAUAGGGGAGCCGAAGGGAAACCGAGUCUUAACUGGGCGUUAAGUUGCAGGGUAUAGACCCGAAACCCGGUGAUCUAGCCAUGGGCAGGUUGAAGGUUGGGUAACACUAACUGGAGGACCGAACCGACUAAUGUUGAAAAAUUAGCGGAUGACUUGUGGCUGGGGGUGAAAGGCCAAUCAAACCGGGAGAUAGCUGGUUCUCCCCGAAAGCUAUUUAGGUAGCGCCUCGUGAAUUCAUCUCCGGGGGUAGAGCACUGUUUCGGCAAGGGGGUCAUCCCGACUUACCAACCCGAUGCAAACUGCGAAUACCGGAGAAUGUUAUCACGGGAGACACACGGCGGGUGCUAACGUCCGUCGUGAAGAGGGAAACAACCCAGACCGCCAGCUAAGGUCCCAAAGUCAUGGUUAAGUGGGAAACGAUGUGGGAAGGCCCAGACAGCCAGGAUGUUGGCUUAGAAGCAGCCAUCAUUUAAAGAAAGCGUAAUAGCUCACUGGUCGAGUCGGCCUGCGCGGAAGAUGUAACGGGGCUAAACCAUGCACCGAAGCUGCGGCAGCGACACUAUGUGUUGUUGGGUAGGGGAGCGUUCUGUAAGCCUGUGAAGGUGUACUGUGAGGUAUGCUGGAGGUAUCAGAAGU